This 315-nucleotide unclassified non-coding RNA is filed under the name plant metagenome. RNAcentral's name for it is "partial contains 5.8S ribosomal RNA, internal transcribed spacer 2, and large subunit ribosomal RNA". The stretch from base 1 to 105 matches the Rfam family "5.8S ribosomal RNA", at positions 50 to 154 of the family's 154-position model. The record is from RNAcentral.
GAACUGCGAUAAGUAAUGUGAAUUGCAGAAUUCAGUGAAUCAUCGAGUCUUUGAACGCACAUUGCGCCCCCUGGCAUUCCGGGGGGCAUGCCUGUCCGAGCGUCAUUGCUGCCCUUCAAGCCCGGCUUGUGUGUUGGGUCGUCGUCCCCCCCGGGGGACGGACCCGAAAGGCAGCGGCGGCACCGUGUCCGGUCCUCGAGCGUAUGGGGCUUUGUCACCCGCUCGAUUAGGACAGGCCGGGCGCCCGCCGGCGUCAAACCCCAAUCUUUCUAAGGUUGACCUCGGAUCAGGUAGGGAUACCCGCUGAACUUAAGC